CAACCAUCAAGCCCCGGGCUUGUGUUGGGGACCUGCGGCUGCCGCAGGCCCUGAAAACCAGUGGCGGGCUCGCUAGUCACUCCGAGCGUAGUAGUUACACCUCGCUCAGGGCGUGCUGCGGGUUCCGGCCGUUAAAAGCCUUAUUUUACCCAA
This 153-nucleotide unclassified non-coding RNA is filed under the name uncultured Chaetomium. RNAcentral's name for it is "sequence contains ITS2". The record is from RNAcentral. Lineage: Eukaryota; Fungi; Ascomycota; Sordariomycetes; Sordariales; Chaetomiaceae.